GCUCCAUUGGCUCAGUCUGGUUAGAGCGUGUGGCUGUUAGCAGUCUCUUUAAAAUCGAGAUUCCUGGCUACCACAAGGUCAGUAGUUCGAUCCUACUAUGGAGCG
Non-coding RNA from Hyaloraphidium curvatum, 105 nucleotides. NCBI's taxonomy places the organism in Eukaryota, Fungi, Monoblepharomycota, Hyaloraphidiomycetes, Hyaloraphidiales, Hyaloraphidiaceae. The record is from the annotation of a GenBank genome assembly.